This 127-nucleotide small RNA is filed under the name Limimaricola variabilis. Its description in RNAcentral is "ar14". It matches the Rfam family "Alphaproteobacterial ar14". From Rfam's summary of the family: Smr14C2 was renamed NfeR1 (Nodule Formation Efficiency RNA) highly expressed in salt stress and during the symbiotic interaction on legume roots. Lineage: Bacteria; Pseudomonadati; Pseudomonadota; Alphaproteobacteria; Rhodobacterales; Paracoccaceae. The record is from RNAcentral.
UCGAAUACGGGCCGUUCCCUCCUCCUCCCUGGAACGGCGCGCAUCAGACCGGCGGGGUCCUCCUCCUCCCUGACCCCGCCGGUCGCACAGGAUACGGAUGCCCCUCCUCCCAUACAGGCAUCCGUUG